This 1405-nucleotide ribosomal RNA is filed under the name Enterococcus mundtii. RNAcentral describes it as "bacterial SSU rRNA". It matches the Rfam family "Bacterial small subunit ribosomal RNA", at positions 48 to 1425 of the family's 1533-position model. The record is from RNAcentral. Lineage: Bacteria; Bacillati; Bacillota; Bacilli; Lactobacillales; Enterococcaceae.
CUAAUACAUGCAAGUCGAACGCUUCUUUUCCCACCGGAGCUUGCUCCACCGGGAAAAGAGGAGUGGCGAACGGGUGAGUAACACGUGGGUAACCUGCCCAUCAGAAGGGGAUAACACUUGGAAACAGGUGCUAAUACCGUAUAACAAUCGAAACCGCAUGGUUUCGUUUUGAAAGGCGCUUUACGGUGCCGCUGAUGGAUGGACCCGCGGUGCAUUAGCUAGUUGGUGAGGUAACGGCUCACCAAGGCCACGAUGCAUAGCCGACCUGAGAGGGUGAUCGGCCACAUUGGGACUGAGACACGGCCCAAACUCCUACGGGAGGCAGCAGUAGGGAAUCUUCGGCAAUGGACGAAAGUCUGACCGAGCAACGCCGCGUGAGUGAAGAAGGUUUUCGGAUCGUAAAACUCUGUUGUUAGAGAAGAACAAGGGUGAGAGUAACUGUUCACCCCUUGACGGUAUCUAACCAGAAAGCCACGGCUAACUACGUGCCAGCAGCCGCGGUAAUACGUAGGUGGCAAGCGUUGUCCGGAUUUAUUGGGCGUAAAGCGAGCGCAGGCGGUUUCUUAAGUCUGAUGUGAAAGCCCCCGGCUCAACCGGGGAGGGUCAUUGGAAACUGGGAGACUUGAGUGCAGAAGAGGAGAGUGGAAUUCCAUGUGUAGCGGUGAAAUGCGUAGAUAUAUGGAGGAACACCAGUGGCGAAGGCGGCUCUCUGGUCUGUAACUGACGCUGAGGCUCGAAAGCGUGGGGAGCAAACAGGAUUAGAUACCCUGGUAGUCCACGCCGUAAACGAUGAGUGCUAAGUGUUGGAGGGUUUCCGCCCUUCAGUGCUGCAGCUAACGCAUUAAGCACUCCGCCUGGGGAGUACGACCGCAAGGUUGAAACUCAAAGGAAUUGACGGGGGCCCGCACAAGCGGUGGAGCAUGUGGUUUAAUUCGAAGCAACGCGAAGAACCUUACCAGGUCUUGACAUCCUUUGACCACUCUAGAGAUAGAGCUUCCCCUUCGGGGGCAAAGUGACAGGUGGUGCAUGGUUGUCGUCAGCUCGUGUCGUGAGAUGUUGGGUUAAGUCCCGCAACGAGCGCAACCCUUAUUGUUAGUUGCCAUCAUUUAGUUGGGCACUCUAGCAAGACUGCCGGUGACAAACCGGAGGAAGGUGGGGAUGACGUCAAAUCAUCAUGCCCCUUAUGACCUGGGCUACACACGUGCUACAAUGGGAAGUACAACGAGUCGCGAAGUCGCGAGGCUAAGCUAAUCUCUUAAAGCUUCUCUCAGUUCGGAUUGUAGGCUGCAACUCGCCUACAUGAAGCCGGAAUCGCUAGUAAUCGCGGAUCAGCACGCCGCGGUGAAUACGUUCCCGGGCCUUGUACACACCGCCCGUCACACCACGAGAGUUUGUAACACCCGAA